GGAGGGGUCGCAUAGUCCGGUCUAGUGCGCGGCACUCGAAAUGCCGUGAGCCGUGUGAACGGUUCCGUGGGUUCGAAUCCCACCCCCUCCG
This 91-nucleotide transfer RNA is filed under the name Acidimicrobiia bacterium. RNAcentral describes it as "tRNA-Ser". It matches the Rfam family "tRNA". From Rfam's summary of the family: Transfer RNA (tRNA) molecules are approximately 80 nucleotides in length. Their secondary structure includes four short double-helical elements and three loops (D, anti-codon, and T loops). Lineage: Bacteria; Bacillati; Actinomycetota; Acidimicrobiia. The record is from RNAcentral. RNAcentral also lists the same sequence under 1 other name.